UACGUAGGGUGCGAGCGUUGUCCGGAAUUAUUGGGCGUAAAGAGCUUGUAGGCGGUUUGUCGCGUCUGCUGUGAAAAUCCGGGGCUCAACCCCGGACUUGCAGUGGGUACGGGCAGGCUAGAGUGUGGUAGGGGAGACUGGAAUUCCUGGUGUAGCGGUGAAAUGCGCAGAUAUCAGGAAGAACACCCGUGGCGAAGGCGGUUCUCUGGGACGGUACUGACGCUGAGACGCGAAAGCGUGGGGAGCGAACAGG
RNAcentral lists this ribosomal RNA (253 nucleotides) under uncultured bacterium. RNAcentral describes it as "partial 16S ribosomal RNA". It matches the Rfam family "Bacterial small subunit ribosomal RNA", at positions 524 to 776 of the family's 1533-position model. The record is from RNAcentral.